ACACUACUGAUCUAAUCCCCAAAAUCCACCGUUUUCUAAUCCCUUCCUUGAGCUCAGAUUAGGUACUGCUUCAAUUUUGGUCCCUGUUUUACCCUCCCGAUUCACGCUUCUGUUUUACCCAAAAUCCACGUUCUGUUUCUUCCUUCUACCUUUCUUCUCCACUCUCCUCACCGUCUUCUCCUCUAACAUCCAGUGUGUUCUGCUCCUCUAACAUCCUCUGGCGUACCAUUUGUGGCUAUGGAGAACAGUGCUGUUGCUGCCUUUUAAGCUCAUUACAGUAUUCUUGCAUGAAGCAAGUCAUGCAAUUGCCUGCAAACUUACCUGUGGUCAUGCACUUGUUGAUGCCCCGGAUAUGGUAAGAGGCCAAAUGAACUUCAAGAGGCUUACAUUGACAGAUAUCACAAUUGACAUUCCACGUGUUCCCAAGAACAAAUGGGUUGAUCGAAGCUAUGGAGAAGGCUGGUAAGGACGACGACAGCUUUCACCAGCAUUUGUAAUGUUGUUUCUUGAAGAUAUGUUUUCUUUCUUAUCACUCUUAUGUUAACUUGCAAAUGUUAAGAACAAAUGGGAAAGUAGCUCGUGGGGUAGAAAGUUGAUUGUCCAGAAGAGAAGAGCAUCUCUCAACGACUUUGAUAGGUUCAAGCUUAUGUUGGCUAAGAUCAAGAGGUCUGGAGUCAUCAAGCAAGAACUUGCUAAGCUGAAAAAGGAGAAUGCAUCUUGAAUUUGAUAUUGAAUCAUGGAUUUUUGUUAGUUUUUGUCAUCAAACAAUCUGCAGGUUGUUCUUUUUUGUAAUUUUUUCUUUUAUUUACAAAUGAUUAAAAAGAUUAAAGAUCAGUUGAGAGAUCUUUGUUUGCUAUAUUACAUAUUUUAUAGUGAGUUUAAUAGCAGGAUAUUGCUUUGCUUGCUGCAA
RNA transcript from Gossypium raimondii (Peruvian cotton), 910 nucleotides. RefSeq lists it as uncharacterized. The transcript has 4 exons. NCBI's taxonomy places the organism in Eukaryota, Viridiplantae, Streptophyta, Magnoliopsida, Malvales, Malvaceae. The record is from RefSeq and is a predicted model, not a curated record.